CAAUGGUUGUACCCAUUGCUUUAAGUUUUGUUUAUGCAGUAAAGGUUGUGCAUACCGCUUAAAGUCAUGUACCAGUUUUAUUGGUACAUGACCUCAACUUUUCCAAAAAAGAUGGAGACUUUAGAGAGAGAAAGUAGAGAGAGAGCAGCAGAAAAAAGGGCUCCGAUGGGUUCCGGCCGCCGGUGAUGGCAGAGCCAUGAUGCCUUUAGACGGAGCUACAACAGUGGUGGUCUAGGUGGUGUCGGGUUGGACAAAUAAACAACAGUUGUGGUGCUAGGGUUUGACAAAGGAUGAUGGUGGUGGUGUUAGGUAAGAGGCGGUGGUUCAGUUGACAACUGUGACGACCACAACGGACCCGAUUGCAAUAAUAGUGACCGCGACGUUUUGAAGGUUUAGGAUUCCGGCAAGGCUUCAGUUAAUUCCUACGAGUUUUGCGGAUCAAGAGAAUUAAAAAACUGUGUAUUGAAUUCGAGUUUGGGCUAUAUUCAUGGUUCUUAAUAUGUUGAUUGUACACUAAAGCUUCUUUUGGAAGCUUUAUAUUUCAUACAAAGAGAAGAGAGAGACAUGAGAGAUAGAGAUGCGGAUUCGUUUGAGAGAGAGAAACGGUGGAAGGACCAACGUUUACGGUGGUUACUAGGCGGCGCACGGCGGCGCUUUUCACUUAUGACGCUACACGACUGACACUCAAAUAAUCAUCGAGGAGGAGUGUAUUUCGGUGAAGUAUGACGAGUCUCCAACGAAGAUCCGGUAAGUCUUCUAUUCUGUUGCAUGUUACAGUUUCAGUUACAUCGGUUCUUGAUGUGUCGUUUGAGACUAUUCUCGGUGAUAAAUAAUUCUGACAAGAAUCCGGUCAAGUUCCGACCAAGCUCCGGUGAACGAAACUCGACCUGCAUCUCUUUUUUAUUUUUCUAUGUGCAUAUGUAGUCAUACGUUUAGUUAUGUUGGUUAUAAAUGUUUGGGAAUUAGGUCAAGUGGUUGUAGUCUUGGGUUGAAAUUUGUUGAUCAAAGUCAAAAUAGUUCUGAUUUGGUUGCAAAGAUGAAGAAUACAGAGCUCAACUUGUGAGUAAUGUUAGACAUGACCAAAGAAGUAUAAAUAGAUUAGAGUCAAGCAUUAGUGGAGUGGAAAGAAGUAGAGAGGGUACAAGUAAGUGAUACAGAUUCCAUGGUAGUGGCUGAUGGAUACAGUAGUCGUUGGAAAGGUAGGUGCAGACUUUCCUUUAUCACCAAGCAAAGGCUUUUUGUGAUAAUAAACUUGAGUUACAAUGUAUUAUGCUUUAUAAAGUUAACUACAAAUCUUGAUUGUAACUUAAGCUAUUUAUUUUAUUAAUUAAUUAAGUCGACAAUUACAGAUAAAACUAAGUUCCCUGAAUCUGUCACAAGAGUGUAUGCAGAGGAUCGCUAAAGAAUUAGAGUGCAAUGAAGCUUCACGAGACGGGGAUUUGGCACGAGAGUGUAUGCGGAGGAUCGCUAUAGAAUUGGAGUGCAAUGAAGCUUCACGAUACGGGGAUUUGUUGCUACAAGGCGUUCGAUUUGCUUUUCGGGUUCAUUAGAUAGUUUGGCAGUGGAAAACACAUCAGCUCAAGGGGACACGCGUCAUUAAUCCUCAUCGUAUGAGAAACCUAAACCAUCUUUCUCUCAAAGUCUGGGUAGAGGGAGAGAUCGAGAGAAAGAGAAUCCGACCACACUCCGGCGGCCGGUGGUAUCAAUGACGACGGUGACGAUAGGGGUAAACGGAAAUGAAGAUGAUCGUCUUUUGAGAUUUAGGUUGUACAGUUGUUUUGUAAUAAAGUUGUCAUUGUCGUGGCUCUGGUGGUGUUUCGCAGCGUGUAAAGCGACUGCCGGUGGCGAAGACGACCUACUGCAGUCGAACAUUUGAUGAACAUGAAGUUCACUUGCAUUGCAUCAUUAAAGACAGAUAAACGCCACCAGUGGUACUGCCUCUUAAAAAAAAAACUCCCGAUGAAGUACUUGGCAAUGAGACUUGUAUUCUUAGAGUUCAUCUACACGGUGAUGGUUGCAAACACAAAGUGAAGAAACUUCUUCAAAAAAUUGACGGCAUUCUCUCUUUCAGCUGUUCCUUUCAUUAAAAAAAGAAAAGAAACUAUGUCUUUGACUUUUGAAGUCAAAGAAUACUUUUUCGUUUCAAACUUGAAUGUAAUUAUUGGAAAGAAAAAAAUGGUACAUGUACAAGUAGGUGUUGAAUAUGGUACAAAAGGGAAGAAGUUUUUGGUGUAGGUAUGGGUGGGAUAUGAAGGUCAAGAUUUGUCGGGUUUGACUACACAUGUUCAAGAUUUGUGACGAUGAUGAAUCUUUAAGUUCGGUUAGCUUAAUGAACUAAAGCGGGUAGUUUCAUUCAUGUGUAUAAAUGUGAUAGCAAGUUUUGUAUCAUUAAUGUGGGCAUAAUAGAAGAAUAUUAGUUUGCUUUA
Molecule: long non-coding RNA, 2426 nt
Organism: Helianthus annuus (common sunflower)
Lineage: Eukaryota; Viridiplantae; Streptophyta; Magnoliopsida; Asterales; Asteraceae
Exons: 5
Source: RefSeq, a predicted model, not a curated record